GGUUUACACUUCUGCACUCAUUACAAGGAAGUAACUGGGAUACACUUCUAGGACGGGUUUUCAGAAUUUGAACUAUCAAACACACUAGUAAAAUAUGGUCAGAUUACAUUCAAUUAAGAAGGAACAACAGACCAAUUGAUUCUUCAUUGAAUGCUGAUAAGUAAAAUCCUGAAAAAAAGAAAUAAAUGCAAAUUUUGUACAAUGGCGAAAAAACAGAUAUGGAAUAAAGUUUAAAAGAAAAUUAAGAACAUGAAGCAGAAGAUUAUUGAGUCAUCAUGUUUAAAACAAUGGUCAAAAUAAUGACUGAAAUGCCCCACUAAAACUUAUGUGGUUAGCAUCAAGUUGUGAUUUAACUACAAAUGUCAACACAUUCUCUAAUGGAGGAGUAGGAACUGCAUAGCCCUCCAGAUGUUGUUGGACUACAACUCCCAGCAUUCCUCACCUUUGGCUGUGGUGGGUAGAACUCACUGCAGGCUAACAAUAUCUGAAGAAGAAUAUGAUCUCCAUCCCUGUAUUAAACCAUUUUU
Molecule: long non-coding RNA, 527 nt
Organism: Anolis sagrei ordinatus
Lineage: Eukaryota; Metazoa; Chordata; Lepidosauria; Squamata; Anolidae
Source: RefSeq, a predicted model, not a curated record